UACCUUACCCCAAAAAGAUAAGAGAUAAGGUAGAAUGGUGGGUUGUCAUAAAGAUCAAACCAAGGGGUACAAUGGAUGAUCGAUAUACAUUGGAGGUUGCUUAUCAAGAUAAUGCAAUGUCCCAUAUUAAUACUAUAAUGAAUGAUGACCCACUUGAAAAUUUAAGAGACAUUGAAGAUGGUUUUGAGGAAGUUGAAGGAUAUGAUGAAGCGAACAUGGACAU
This 223-nucleotide long non-coding RNA is filed under the name Elaeis guineensis (African oil palm). RNAcentral describes it as "long non-coding RNA (EGUI_LNC012428)". The record is from RNAcentral. Lineage: Eukaryota; Viridiplantae; Streptophyta; Magnoliopsida; Arecales; Arecaceae.